Molecule: non-coding RNA, 26 nt
Filed under: Mus musculus (house mouse)
Lineage: Eukaryota; Metazoa; Chordata; Mammalia; Rodentia; Muridae
Source: RNAcentral
UUCAGUAGUAGCUGUGAAUGGGAGUC